This 504-nucleotide ribosomal RNA is filed under the name uncultured bacterium. RNAcentral describes it as "bacterial SSU rRNA". It matches the Rfam family "Bacterial small subunit ribosomal RNA", at positions 29 to 524 of the family's 1533-position model. The record is from RNAcentral.
AGUGAACGCUGGCGGCAGGCCUAAUACAUGCAAGUCGAACGGCAGCACAGCAGAGCUUGCUCUGUGGGUGGCGAGUGGCGGACGGGUGAGGAAUACGUGGGAAUCUGCCCAGUCGUGGGGAUAACGUAGGGAAACUUACGCUAAUACCGCAUGCGCCCUUCGGGGAAAGCCGGGGACCUUCGGGCCUGGCGCGAUUGGAUGAGCCCACGUCGGAUUAGCUAGUUGGCGGGGUAAAGGCCCACCAAGGCGACGAUCCGUAGCUGGUCUGAGAGGAUGAUCAGCCACACUGGAACUGAGACACGGUCCAGACUCCUACGGGAGGCAGCAGUAGGGAAUAUUGGACAAUGGGCGCAAGCCUGAUCCAGCCAUGCCGCGUGAGUGAAGAAGGCCCUCGGGUGUAAAGCUCUUUUGUCCGGAAAGAAAAGCGCCGGGUUAAUACCCUGGUGUCCUGACGGUACCGGAAGAAUAAGCACCGGCUAACUUCGUGCCAGCAGCCGCGGUAAU